UUUUUUUUUUUCUUUGGUGCAGCUUCUAGUUAACCCAAUGUUCCAGAGCUGCCACUGGAAAACGAAAACGCACUCCUAAUACAAAGAGGUUAAUGAUUUGUCUUCUACAAUAUUACUUUACGGAAUGUGCAUGUCAAAGGCUAAGGUCCUGAUUCACUUCAACCAUACAAGUGUGUGAGAAAACAAUUUGGAAAAACUCCAAGUUUGUAAACAAGCAGGUCUGUUCUUCUCUCACAGUUUGCUUUGUUCAUAGACUCAUAGUAUCAACAAGGUUUGGAAAGACCUUUAAGAUCAUCAAGUCCAACCAUUAACCCAGGACUGCCAAGACCAGCACUAAAUCAUAUCACUGAAGGCUUAAUCUACACAGUUUUUGAACACUUCCCGGGACAGUGAUUCUACCACUUCCCUGGAAAACCUGUUCUAAUACCUGAUCACCCUCUCUGUGAAGAAACUUUUCAUUGGUCCUGCCUGUCCAGAUCCCUCUGCAGACCCCUCCUAUUCUUCAGGAGAUUAACACUCCCAGACGUCUUGGUGUCAUCCACAAAUUUACUGAGGGUGCACUCGAUCCCCUCAUCCAGAUCACCAAUGAAGAUAUUAAACAACACAGUCCUAGCACCAAGCCCUGAGGGACACCACUACCAACCAGUCUCCAACUAGAUGUGAUACCAUUUACCACCACUCUUUGGGUUCAGCCAUCCAGCCAGUUUCCAACCCAGCCAGUUUCCAGGCCAUGAGCAGCCGAUUUCUCCAGGAGGACACUGUGGGAGACAGUGUCAAGUGCUUUACUUAAAUCCAAAUAUACAAUCUCCACAGCCUUUCCCUCAUGAACCAGCCGAGUCACCUUAUUGUAGAAGGAGACCAGGUUGGUCAAGCAGGACCUGCCCUUAAUGACCCCAUGCUGACUGGGCCUGAUACCUCCUUUUCCCCGCAUGUGCUUCAUGAUCUCACUCAGGAUCAUCUGCUCCCUGACUCUCCUGGCACUUAGGUCAGGCUGCCAGGCCUGUAGUUCCCAGGGUCUUCCUUCCUGCCCAUUCUGUAGAGAGGCAUCACACUGGCCAACCUCCAA
RNAcentral lists this long non-coding RNA (1066 nucleotides) under Strigops habroptila (Kakapo). Its description in RNAcentral is "lncRNA (ENSSHBG00005017311.1)". The record is from RNAcentral. Lineage: Eukaryota; Metazoa; Chordata; Aves; Psittaciformes; Psittacidae.